AGUUGGUGGGGUAAAGGCCUACCAAGACUAUGAUGUGUAGCCGGGCUGAGAGGUUGAACGGCCACAUUGGGACUGAGACACGGCCCAAACUCCUACGGGAGGCAGCAGUAGGGAAUUUUCGGCAAUGGAGGAAACUCUGACCGAGCAACGCCGCGUGAACGAUGAAGUAUUUCGGUACGUAAAGUUCUUUUAUUAGGGAAGAAUAAAUGAUGGAAAAAUCAUUCUGACGGUACCUAAUGAAUAAGCCCCGGCUAACUAUGUGCCAGCAGCCGCGGUAAUACAUAGGGGGCAAGCGUUAUCCGGAAUUAUUGGGCGUAAAGGGUGCGUAGGCGGUUAAAUAAGUUUAUGGUCUAAGUGCAAUGCUUAACAUUGUGAUGCUAUAAAAACUGUUUAACUAGAGUAAGAUAGAGGCAAGUGGAAUUCCAUGUGUAGUGGUAAAAUGCGUAAAUAUAUGGAGGAACACCAGUAGCGAAGGCGGCUUGCUGGGUCUUUACUGACGCUGAGGCACGAAAGCGUGGGGAGCAAACAGGAUUAGAUACCCUGGUAGUCCACGCCGUAAACGAUGAGUACUAAAUGUUGGGUAAAACCAGUGUUGAAGUUAACACAUUAAGUACUCCGCCUGAGUAGUACGUACGCAAGUAUGAAACUUAAAGGAAUUGACGGGACUCCGCACAAGCGGUGGAUCAUGUUGUUUAAUUCGAAGGUACCCGAAAAACCUCACCAGGUCUUGACAUGCUUCUGCAAAGCUGUAGAAACACAGUGGAGGUUAUCAGUUGCACAGGUGGUGCAUGGUUGUCGUCAGCUCGUGUCGUGAGAUGUUGGGUUAAGUCCCGCAACGAGCGCAACCCUUAUUGUUAGUUGCCAGCACGUAAUGGUGGGGACUUUAGCAAGACUGCCAGUGAUAAAUUGGAGGAAGGUGGGGACGACGUCAAAUCAUCAUGCCCCUUAUGACCUGGGCUACAAACGU
Molecule: ribosomal RNA, 967 nt
Filed under: Lethal wilt oil palm phytoplasma
Lineage: Bacteria; Bacillati; Mycoplasmatota; Mollicutes; Acholeplasmatales; Acholeplasmataceae
Description: bacterial SSU rRNA
Rfam family: Bacterial small subunit ribosomal RNA
Source: RNAcentral